Prunus mume (Japanese apricot) is the source of this 813-nucleotide non-coding RNA. NCBI's taxonomy places the organism in Eukaryota, Viridiplantae, Streptophyta, Magnoliopsida, Rosales, Rosaceae. The record is from RefSeq and is a predicted model, not a curated record.
AAAAACAUGCCAACCCCUAAUUAAGACAGAGGGAACGGGUCAAGUUUUUAAGAUAACCCAAGAUGCUAAAUGGGUCAUGGUGCGGCAUUUCCUUAGAAGUCUCGCGAGAAAAAGGAGAGGCUGGUGUAGUGUGCUCUGCCUCUUCUCUCCGCCAGUCAAUUCCAGCUGCUCCCAUCGCCACCAGAUUUCGCCAUUUUUGUGCUCUCAUUGAAGAGUCAGCCAAAAAGAAAGAGCAUCGAAAGUAAUGGCGACCAAGAUAUGCGUAGUGAUUCGAUCUUUUCAUCACCCAAACCUUUUGUGGGGCCUUCCACCUUCCACACGGAGGAUUGCAUUGCCUGAAUCACGAGUCUUAUAUACUGUGUUGCGAUCACCUCAUAUUGAUAAAAAGUCCAGAGAGCAGUUUGAAAUGGAAAUCAAGAAACAAUAUCUCGUCAUAAAAACACAACCGCAUGAAUUGCAGAAGAAGUUCUUUUGGCUGAAGCGCCAACGUAUAUUUGGAGCUCAAUAUGAACUCCUAUUUUCUUGCAAGACCCGCUUGGAUAAGGAAAAACUGCAGGGAUUGCUCUGAAGCAAGAUCCUUGCAUUGACCCUUCCCUGAACCAGAACCAGCAUAGCGCCGCUGGUUGCUUCUGAUUAACAACACAAUAUGAAGUGAGGGUAAAAGAGCACUUAAAAUGAUGCCCUAGUUUGGGUUGUGGUUUGGUGUUUUGCAAGUUUUGGGAGUUUAAAAUGUGUUUUAAUCGGAUAGGAUGAUGGAGAACUGUUGUUGGUAACAGUGGGAUUUGUUUAAUUUAUUUUUUUGGUUGAUUGUCU